RNAcentral lists this ribosomal RNA (253 nucleotides) under uncultured bacterium. Its description in RNAcentral is "partial 16S ribosomal RNA". It matches the Rfam family "Bacterial small subunit ribosomal RNA", at positions 524 to 776 of the family's 1533-position model. The record is from RNAcentral.
UACGAGGGGUGCAAGCGUUGCUCGGAAUUAUUGGGCGUAAAGGGUAGGUAGGUGGUCUCAUUUGUCGGGGGUGAAAGCCUUGGGCUUAACCUAAGAAGUGCCCCCGAAACGGUGAGACUUGAGUUCUGGAGAGGGUCGUGGAAUUCCCGGUGUAGCGGUGAAAUGCGUAGAGAUCGGGAGGAACACCAGAGGCGAAGGCGGCGACCUGGACAGAUACUGACACUCAACUACGAAAGCGUGGGGAGCAAACAGG